UAAAGCUUCAAACUGGGAUUAGAUACCCCACUAUUCUUGGAUAUAAAAAAAUAUGGAUUUACCAGAGUACUAUGGAUUGAUGACAUUUAAAACUCAAAGAGCUUGGCGGUGUUUUAGACUCUUUAGGGGAACCUGUCUCAUAAUCGACAAUCCACGCAAGACCUGACCUUUAUUUGCUUUCAGUUUGUAUACCGUCGUCGUCAGGUAACUUUUUAGAAAAAAGAAGUUAGCAAUUGAGCUUUUAAUAAGCUCUUACGUCAGAUCAAGGUGCAGCCAACAUAAAGGGGAGGAUGGGUUACAAUUAUAAGAAUCAUAACUACGGAAUGGCUGUUUUAAAUAGCAGCCAUGAAGGAGGACUUAAAAGUAAAAUAAAAUAUAUAAAUGUAUUGAAUUGAGCUCUGAAACGUGCACACACCGCCCGUCACCCUCCUGCAGUCAA
RNAcentral lists this ribosomal RNA (439 nucleotides) under Reishia clavigera. RNAcentral describes it as "partial 12S ribosomal RNA". It matches the Rfam family "Microsporidia small subunit ribosomal RNA", at positions 644 to 1216 of the family's 1311-position model. The record is from RNAcentral. Lineage: Eukaryota; Metazoa; Mollusca; Gastropoda; Neogastropoda; Muricidae.